ACACAUGCAAGUCGAGCGGAAAGGCCCUUCGGGGUACUCGAGCGGCGAACGGGUGAGUAACACGUGAGCAACCUGCCCCAGGCUUUGGGAUAACCCCGGGAAACCGGGGCUAAUACCGAAUAUGACCUCCGAUCGCAUGGUUGGUGGUGGAAAGUUUUUCGGCUUGGGAUGGGCUCGCGGCCUAUCAGCUUGUUGGUGGGGUGAUGGCCUACCAAGGCGACGACGGGUAGCCGGCCUGAGAGGGCGACCGGCCACACUGGGACUGAGACACGGCCCAGACUCCUACGGGAGGCAGCAGUGGGGAAUAUUGCACAAUGGGCGGAAGCCUGAUGCAGCGACGCCGCGUGAGGGAUGACGGCCUUCGGGUUGUAAACCUCUUUCAGCAGGGACGAAGCGUAAGUGACGGUACCUGCAGAAGAAGCGCCGGCCAACUACGUGCCAGCAG
This 445-nucleotide ribosomal RNA is filed under the name Micromonospora sp. 8C. RNAcentral's name for it is "bacterial SSU rRNA". It matches the Rfam family "Bacterial small subunit ribosomal RNA", at positions 51 to 514 of the family's 1533-position model. The record is from RNAcentral. Lineage: Bacteria; Bacillati; Actinomycetota; Actinomycetes; Micromonosporales; Micromonosporaceae.